CAACUCUAGAGAUAGAGUCUUCCCCUUCGGGGGACAAAGUGACAGGUGGUGCAUGGUUGUCGUCAGCUCGUGUCGUGAGAUGUUGGGUUAAGUCCCGCAACGAGCGCAACCCUUAAGCUUAGUUGCCAGCAUUAAGUUGGGCACUCUAAGUUGACUGCCGGUGACAAACCGGAGGAAGGUGGGGAUGACGUCAAAUCAUCAUGCCCCUUAUGAUUUGGGCUACACACGUGCUACAAUGGACAAUACAAAGGGCAGCUAAACCGCGAGGUCAUGCAAAUCCCAUAAAGUUGUUCUCAGUUCGGAUUGUAGUCUGCAACUCGACUACAUGAAGCUGGAAUCGCUAGUAAUCGUAGAUCAGCAUGCUACGGUGAAUACGUUCCCGGGUCUUGUACACACCGCCCGUCACACCACGAGAGUCUGUAACACCCGAAGCCGGUGGAGUAACCAUUUAUGGAGCUAGCCGUCGAAGGUGGGACAAAUGAUUGGGGUGAAGUCGUAACAAGGUAGCCGUAUCGGAAGGUGC
RNAcentral lists this ribosomal RNA (523 nucleotides) under uncultured bacterium. RNAcentral describes it as "bacterial SSU rRNA". It matches the Rfam family "Bacterial small subunit ribosomal RNA", at positions 995 to 1515 of the family's 1533-position model. The record is from RNAcentral.